RNAcentral lists this ribosomal RNA (268 nucleotides) under uncultured prokaryote. Its description in RNAcentral is "partial 16S ribosomal RNA". It matches the Rfam family "Bacterial small subunit ribosomal RNA", at positions 524 to 792 of the family's 1533-position model. The record is from RNAcentral.
UACGUAGGGGACGAGCGUUGUCCGGAAUUACUGGGCGUAAAGGGCGCGCAGGCGGAUAUUUAAGUCAGCUGUUAAAGUCAUGGGCUCAACUCAUGGAUGCGGUUGAAACUGGGUAUCUAGAGUGCUGGAGAGGUAGGCGGAAUUCCCGGUGUAGCGGUGAAAUGCGUAGAUAUCGGGAAGAACACCAGUGGCGAAGGCGGCUUACUGGCCAGCAACUGACGCUGAGGCGCGAAAGCCAGGGGAGCGAACGGAAUUAGAUACCCCCGUA